This is a non-coding RNA of Triticum urartu, 125 nucleotides long. Lineage: Eukaryota; Viridiplantae; Streptophyta; Magnoliopsida; Poales; Poaceae. The record is from Rfam.
CGUGUAGUCACUCCGUCCGGAAAUACUUGUCCUGAAAAUUGUUGUAAAUGGAUGUAUCUAUUAUUAAAAUAUGUAUAGAUACAACCAUUUUGAGAACAAGUAUUUCCGGACAGAGGGAGUACGUU